Molecule: non-coding RNA, 65 nt
Organism: Dipodomys ordii (Ord's kangaroo rat)
Lineage: Eukaryota; Metazoa; Chordata; Mammalia; Rodentia; Heteromyidae
Source: Rfam
GGUGGCUCAGUGGUAGAGUGUUUGCCUUGCAUGCAUGAAGCCCUGGGUUCAAUUCCUCAGCACCA